GAUGAACGCUGGCGGCGUGCUUAACACAUGCAAGUCGAACGGUGAAGCCAAGCUUGCUUGGUGGAUCAGUGGCGAACGGGUGAGUAACACGUGAGCAACCUGCCCUGGACUCUGGGAUAAGCGCUGGAAACGGCGUCUAAUACUGGAUAUGAGCUUCUACCGCAUGGUGGGGGUUGGAAAGAUUUUUUGGUCUGGGAUGGGCUCGCGGCCUAUCAGCUUGUUGGUGAGGUAAUGGCUCACCAAGGCGUCGACAGGUAGCCGGCCUGAGAGGGUGACCGGCCACACUGGGACUGAGACACGGCCCAGACUCCUACGGGAGGCAGCAGUGGGGAAUAUUGCACAAUGGGCGAAAGCCUGAUGCAGCAACGCCGCGUGAGGGAUGACGGCCUUCGGGUUGUAAACCUCUUUUAGCAGGGAAGAAGCGAAAGUGACGGUACCUGCAGAAAAAGCGCCGGCUAACUACGUGCCAGCAGCCGCCGUAA
This 482-nucleotide ribosomal RNA is filed under the name uncultured bacterium. RNAcentral's name for it is "partial 16S ribosomal RNA". It matches the Rfam family "Bacterial small subunit ribosomal RNA", at positions 28 to 523 of the family's 1533-position model. The record is from RNAcentral.